RNAcentral lists this ribosomal RNA (429 nucleotides) under Actinomycetes bacterium. Its description in RNAcentral is "Actinobacteria bacterium partial 16S ribosomal RNA". It matches the Rfam family "Bacterial small subunit ribosomal RNA", at positions 355 to 776 of the family's 1533-position model. Lineage: Bacteria; Bacillati; Actinomycetota; Actinomycetes. The record is from RNAcentral.
UAGGGAAUCUUCCGCAAUGGGCGAAAGCUUGACGGAGCAACGCCGCGUGAGUGAUGAAGGUCUUCGGAUCGUAAAACUCUGUUAUUAGGGAAGAACAAAUGUGUAAGUAACUAUGCACGUCUUGACGGUACCUAAUCAGAAAGCCACGCCUAACUACGUGCCAGCAGCCGCGGUAAUACGUAGGUGGCAAGCGUUAUCCGGAAUUAUUGGGCGUAAAGCGCGCGUAGGCGGUUUUUUAAGUCUGAUGUGAAAGCCCACGGCUCAACCGUGGAGGGUCAUUGGAAACUGGAAAACUUGAGUGCAGAAGAGGAAAGUGGAAUUCCAUGUGUAGCGGUGAAAUGCGCAGAGAUAUGGAGGAACACCAGUGGCGAAGGCGACUUUCUGGUCUGUAACUGACGCUGAUGUGCGAAAGCGUGGGGAUCAAACAGG